UUAAGCGUGCUUGGGCGAGAGUAGUACUAGGAUGGGUGACCUCCUGGGAAGUCCUCGUGUUGCAUUCC
This is a non-coding RNA of Triticum aestivum (bread wheat), 68 nucleotides long. NCBI's taxonomy places the organism in Eukaryota, Viridiplantae, Streptophyta, Magnoliopsida, Poales, Poaceae. The record is from Rfam.